Molecule: ribosomal RNA, 427 nt
Filed under: uncultured bacterium
Lineage: Bacteria
Description: partial 16S ribosomal RNA
Rfam family: Bacterial small subunit ribosomal RNA
Source: RNAcentral
UGGGGAAUAUUGCACAAUGGGCGCAAGCCUGAUGCAGCCAUGCCGCGUGUAUGAAGAAGGCCUUCGGGUUGUAAAGUACUUUCAGCGGGGAGGAAGGUGUUGUGGUUAAUAACCACAGCAAUUGACGUUACCCGCAGAAGAAGCACCGGCUAACUCCGUGCCAACAGCCGCGGUAAUACGGAGGGUGCAAGCGUUAAUCGGAAUUACUGGGCGUAAAGCGCACGCAGGCGGUCUGUCAAGUCGGAUGUGAAAUCCCCGGGCUCAACCUGGGAACUGCAUCCGAAACUGGCAGGCUUGAGUCUUGUAGAGGGGGGUAGAAUUCCAGGUGUAGCGGUGAAAUGCGUAGAGAUCUGGAGGAAUACCGGUGGCGAAGGCGGCCCCCUGGACAAAGACUGACGCUCAGGUGCGAAAGCGUGGGGAGCAAACA